GUAACUUAAUAAGCUAGUUGGUUAGGCAGUCAGUCAGCUAGUUAGUUAAUUAGUUAGCAAGCUAGCUCGUUUGUUAGUUAGCUAGUCAGUUUGUUAGUUAGUUAAUUGGCUAGUUAGCCAGUCAGUCAGAUAGCUAGCAAGCUAGUUAGUUAGUUAGCUAGUAAGUCAGUCAGUUAGUCAAACGUGAUGAGUUCAUGGCCUUAGUCAACUUACUAUAGCUGAUGAGUCUUCAAGCCCAAACACACCUCAAAAAAGUAUUUAUUUAUUGAGCUAGUCAGUCAUUUAAUUAGUUAGCUAUCUAGUUAUUUUUUAUUUAAGUAGGUAGUGAGCUAGUUAGUUAGUUACUUAGUUAAGUGGGUAGUGAGCUAGCUAGUUAUUUUUUUAUUUAAGUAGGUAGUGAGCUAGCUAGUUAUUUUUUUAUUUAAGUAGGUAGUGAGCUAGCUAGUUAGUUAUUUAGUUAAGUAGGUAGUGAGCUAGCUAGUUAUUUUUUCAUUUAAGUAGGUAGUGAGCUAGCUAGUUAUUUUUUUAUUUAAGUAGGUAGUGAGCUAGCUAGUUAGUUAUUUAGUUAAGUAGGUAGUGAGCUAGCUAGUUAUUUUUUCAUUUAAGUAGGUAGUGAGCUAGCUAGUUAGUUAUUUAGUUAAGUAGGUAGUGAGCUAGCUAGUUAUUUUUUCAUUUAAGUAGGUAGUGAGCUAGCUAGUUAUUUUUUAUUUAAGUAGGUAGUGAGCUAGCUAGUUAGUUA
Molecule: long non-coding RNA, 739 nt
Organism: Astyanax mexicanus (Mexican tetra)
Lineage: Eukaryota; Metazoa; Chordata; Actinopteri; Characiformes; Acestrorhamphidae
Exons: 3
Source: RefSeq, a predicted model, not a curated record